GCGGUCGUGGCGGAAUUGGUAGACGCGCAGCGUUGAGGUCGCUGUGGGGCAGCCCGUGGAAGUUCGAGUCUUCUCGACCGCA
This 82-nucleotide transfer RNA is filed under the name Bartonella ancashensis. RNAcentral describes it as "tRNA-Leu". It matches the Rfam family "tRNA". From Rfam's summary of the family: Transfer RNA (tRNA) molecules are approximately 80 nucleotides in length. Their secondary structure includes four short double-helical elements and three loops (D, anti-codon, and T loops). Lineage: Bacteria; Pseudomonadati; Pseudomonadota; Alphaproteobacteria; Hyphomicrobiales; Bartonellaceae. The record is from RNAcentral.